This 253-nucleotide ribosomal RNA is filed under the name uncultured bacterium. Its description in RNAcentral is "partial 16S ribosomal RNA". It matches the Rfam family "Bacterial small subunit ribosomal RNA", at positions 524 to 776 of the family's 1533-position model. The record is from RNAcentral.
UACGAAGGGGGCUAGCGUUGUUCGGAAUUACUGGGCGUAAAGCGCACGUAGGCGGACUGUCAAGUCAGGGGUGAAACCCCGGGGCUCAACCUCGGAACUGCCUCUGAUACUGUCAGUCUAGAGUCCGGAAGAGGUGGGUGGAAUUCCUAGUGUAGAGGUGAAAUUCGCAGAUAUUAGGAAGAACACCGGUGACGAAGGCGGCCCACUGGUCCGGAACUGACGCUGAGGUGCGAAAGCUUGGGUAGCAAACAGG